RNAcentral lists this ribosomal RNA (328 nucleotides) under uncultured Lachnospiraceae bacterium. Its description in RNAcentral is "partial 16S ribosomal RNA". The record is from RNAcentral. Lineage: Bacteria; Bacillati; Bacillota; Clostridia; Lachnospirales; Lachnospiraceae.
GGAGUUUGGGCCGUGUCUCAGUCCCAAUGUGGCCGUUCAACCUCUCAGUCCGGCUAUUGAUCGUCGUCUUGGUGGUCCGUUACACCGCCAACUAACUAAUCAAACGCGGGUCCAUCUCGUAGCGAUGAAUCUUUUCCCCCUGGACCAUGCGGUCCUGUGGGCUUAUGCGGUAUUAGCAGUCGUUUCCAACUGUUAUCCCCCUCUACGAGGCAGGUUACCCACGCGUUACUCACCCGUCCGCCACUAAGUUACAGCUGACUUUGACGAAUCUCCAUCAAAAGUAACUCCGUUCGACUUGCAUGUGUUAGGCACGCCGCCAGCGUUCAUC